RNAcentral lists this unclassified non-coding RNA (279 nucleotides) under plant metagenome. Its description in RNAcentral is "partial contains small subunit ribosomal RNA, internal transcribed spacer 1, and 5.8S ribosomal RNA". The record is from RNAcentral.
UCUCCGUUGGUGAACCAGCGGAGGGAUCAUUACUGUAUAACCUAGGUCCUAAGCCUUUGUGUACCUCGAAAUGUCGUGCACGCGCGAGGCCCCUCACCCACCUCCCUCGCCCCCCUCUCUGCACCACCUCGUGGAUCCCCCUGUGGCAUGUUCGGGGGGUGGCUUACGUUUUCACACAAUCAUCAAAUGCUUUGUAGACUGUAUUUUUGGUUUUUGCGGCCACGCAAUCGAUACAACUUUCAACAACGGACCGCUUGUCACCCGCAUCCAUGAAGCACC